This 468-nucleotide ribosomal RNA is filed under the name uncultured bacterium. RNAcentral describes it as "partial 16S ribosomal RNA". It matches the Rfam family "Bacterial small subunit ribosomal RNA", at positions 28 to 507 of the family's 1533-position model. The record is from RNAcentral.
GACGAACGCUGGCGGCGUGCUUAACACAUGCAAGUCGAACGGAAAGGCCCGGCUUUUGUGGGGUUCUCGAGUGGCGAACGGGUGAGUAACACGUGAGUAACCUGCCUUUGAUUCUGGGAUAACUUCAGGAAACUGGGGCUAAUACCGGAUAGGAGCUCCUGCUGCAUGGUGGGGUUUGGAAAGUUUCGGCGGUUGGGGAUGGACUCGCGGGUUAUCAGCUUGCUGGUGGGGUAGUGGCUUACCAAGGCUUUGACGGGUAGCCGGCCGGAGAGGGUGACCGGCGCAAUUGGCACUGAGGUACUGCCCGGCGUCCAACGGGAGGCAGCAGUGGGAAAUCUUGCACAAUGGGCGGAGGCCUGACGAAGCAACGCCGCGUGCCGGGUGAUGGCCUUCGGGUUGUACACCGGUUUCGACUGUGUCGAAGCGUGAGUGACGGUACUGGGUGAAGAAGCACCGGCUAACUACGUG